CGGCCCAUAGUUCAAUGGGAGGACGGCGGAAGCAAGUACGGGUUCGAUUCCCGUUGGGUCCG
RNAcentral lists this transfer RNA (62 nucleotides) under Verrucomicrobiaceae bacterium. RNAcentral's name for it is "tRNA-OTHER". It matches the Rfam family "tRNA". Rfam says of the family: Transfer RNA (tRNA) molecules are approximately 80 nucleotides in length. Their secondary structure includes four short double-helical elements and three loops (D, anti-codon, and T loops). The record is from RNAcentral. Lineage: Bacteria; Pseudomonadati; Verrucomicrobiota; Verrucomicrobiia; Verrucomicrobiales; Verrucomicrobiaceae.